GAUGAACGCUGGCGGCGUGCUUAACACAUGCAAGUCGAACGGAAAGGCUCCUGCUUGCAGGGGUACUCGAGUGGCGAACGGGUGAGUAACACGUGGGUGAUCUGCCCUGCACUUCGGGAUAAGCCUGGGAAACUGGGUCUAAUACCGGAUAGGACGAUGGUUUGGAUGCCAUUGUGGUAAGUUUUUUCGGUGUGGGAUGAGCUCGCGGCCUAUCAGCUUGUUGGUGGGGUAAUGGCCUACCAAGGCGUCGACGGGUAGCCGGCCUGAGAGGGUGUACGGCCACAUUGGGACUGAGAUACGGCCCAGACUCCUACGGGAGGCAGCAGUGGGGAAUAUUGCACAAUGGGCGCAAGCCUGAUGCAGCGACGCCGCGUGGGGGAUGACGGCCUUCGGGUUGUAAACUCCUUUCGCUAGGGACGAAGCGCAAGUGACGGUACCUGGAGAAGAAGCACCGGCUAACUACGUG
RNAcentral lists this ribosomal RNA (466 nucleotides) under uncultured bacterium. RNAcentral's name for it is "partial 16S ribosomal RNA". It matches the Rfam family "Bacterial small subunit ribosomal RNA", at positions 28 to 507 of the family's 1533-position model. The record is from RNAcentral.